UAUUCAUCAGCUACUUAUCCACUCUCCUUUUUCUUCCCAGUCUUCUAGGUGUCAGUUUUCUAGUCCUGGAAUCAGGGACCUCAAGUAACAUUUCAUCCUCUAGUUUCCCUGAAAAUCUUUAGCUACACAUUGAAGUUACUGGAUGUACGUUCUGGCACAGUAACCAUAUAUAAACUUCUCAUGGAGAUCGGCUGGGACCUCCUGGAAGAAAUCUCAUUUAAAACAACUGGAAAUGACUUACCUUGGCCCAAGUCACAGCAUAACAGCCACCUCCUCCUCCUCCAGCCCUGCUAAACCAUCUGCCUCCUGCCUUCCUUCACAAGACCCUCUUACAUUUCUUUAGGAUUCAGGAGCUUGUACUAAUUU
This 366-nucleotide long non-coding RNA is filed under the name Athene cunicularia (burrowing owl). Its description in RNAcentral is "lncRNA (ENSACUG00000007684.1)". Lineage: Eukaryota; Metazoa; Chordata; Aves; Strigiformes; Strigidae. The record is from RNAcentral.